AUUGAACGCUGGCGGAAUGCUUUACACAUGCAAGUCGAGCGGCAGCGCGGGGGCAACUCUGGCGGCGAGCGGCGAACGGGUGAGUAAUGUAUCGGAACGUGCCCAGUCGUGGGGGAUAACUAUCCGAAAGGAUAGCUAAUACCGCAUACGACCUGAGGGUGAAAGCGGGGGACCGUAAGGCCUCGCGCGAUUGGAGCGGCCGAUAUCGGAUUAGCUAGUUGGUGAGGUAAAGGCUCACCAAGGCGACGAUCCGUAGCUGGUCUGAGAGGACGACCAGCCACACUGGAACUGAGACACGGUCCAGACUCCUACGGGAGGCAG
RNAcentral lists this ribosomal RNA (321 nucleotides) under uncultured Pseudomonadota bacterium. RNAcentral's name for it is "bacterial SSU rRNA". It matches the Rfam family "Bacterial small subunit ribosomal RNA", at positions 29 to 351 of the family's 1533-position model. The record is from RNAcentral. Lineage: Bacteria; Pseudomonadati; Pseudomonadota.